Molecule: ribosomal RNA, 391 nt
Filed under: uncultured bacterium
Lineage: Bacteria
Description: bacterial SSU rRNA
Rfam family: Bacterial small subunit ribosomal RNA
Source: RNAcentral
GACGAACGCUGGCGGCGUGCUUAACACAUGCAAGUCGAGCGGUAAGGCCCUUUCGGGGGUACACGAGCGGCGAACGGGUGAGUAACACGUGGGUGACCUGCCCUCAGCUCUGGGAUAACCCUGGGAAACUGGGUCUAAUACUGGAUAUGACUCCACGGUGCAUGUCGUGGGGUGGAAAGCCUUGUGCGGCUGAGGAUGGGCCCGCGGCCUAUCAGCUUGUUGGUGGGGUGAUGGCCUACCAAGGCGACGACGGGUAGCCGGCCUGAGAGGGCGACCGGCCACACUGGGACUGAGACACGGCCCAGACUCCUACGGGAGGCAGCAGUGGGGAAUCUUGCGCAAUGGGCGAAAGCCUGACGCAGCGACGCCGCGUGAGGGAUGACGGCCUGGU